RNAcentral lists this ribosomal RNA (454 nucleotides) under uncultured bacterium. RNAcentral's name for it is "partial 16S ribosomal RNA". It matches the Rfam family "Bacterial small subunit ribosomal RNA", at positions 28 to 507 of the family's 1533-position model. The record is from RNAcentral.
GAUGAACGCUGACAGAAUGCUUAACACAUGCAAGUCCACUUGAACUUCGGUUUGGGUGGCGGACGGGUGAGUAACGCGUAAAGAACUUGCCUCACAGCUAGGGACAACAUUUGGAAACGAAUGCUAAUACCUGAUAUUAUGAUUUUAGGGCAUCCUAGAAUUAUGAAAGCUAUAUGCGCUGUGAGAGAGCUUUGCGUCCCAUUAGCUAGUUGGAGAGGUAACGGCUCACCAAGGUGAUGAUGGGUAGCCGGCCUGAGAGGGUGAACGGCCACAAGGGGACUGAGACACGGCCCUUACUCCUACGGGAGGCAGCAGUGGGGAAUAUUGGACAAUGGACCAAGAGUCUGAUCCAGCAAUUCUGUGUGCACGAUGAAGUUUUUCGGAAUGUAAAGUGCUUUCAGUUGGGAAGAAAAAAAUGACGGUACCAACAGAAGAAGUGACGGCUAAAUACGUG